This 1276-nucleotide long non-coding RNA is filed under the name Equus caballus (horse). RNAcentral's name for it is "lncRNA (ENSECAG00000029103.3)". The record is from RNAcentral. Lineage: Eukaryota; Metazoa; Chordata; Mammalia; Perissodactyla; Equidae.
CCUCAUCCCAACUCACCCCUAAUCUCCUCCCACUCCAGUUUCUCUGGCCACAGGAUUUCCACUUCUCCCAGCACAGUGUUGUGGCCCUGAGAGAGCGUCUGUGAACUCAACUCCAGAACAACUCGCUUCACGUUUCUCUGAGGAUGACGGUGAGGCCCGAGCCCUGCAGUUCGGAGGAGGCCCCCUUGGACUCUGCAGUUUUGCAGCUGACCCGGGACUACUGUCUGGCAGGGGAGGGCAAAGGAAGAGAAGAAGCACUUUUCUGAUGGGACAUUCGAUGAUGCUUCUUAGUGGGCGUGGCGCUUCCAUUCAAGUCCCCCAUCUCAGUCAGAGCUGGGGACUUGCAGUUUGUCCUUGCCUGACAGGGAUUCGAAGGGCCAAAUUGUUUCUAGAGAAUAAAACGCAUGUUUGAAAUGGAACAAUGUAUUGACUUCAGGAGAAAACAUGCUGAAAGGAAGCCCUGCAGGGAACUUUCUAGAUGAUCUGCUCCAGCUCCCACAUCUUAUUGAAGAGUGAACCUCAAUUCUGAGAGGUGGAGAGACUUGCUAGAGUAACAUACGUGGUUAAUGGAGGAACCAAACCUAGGGUCCAGUUAAGAAAAAUCGUGCUGCAAGACCCACAGGUAGAGAUGACUAUGCUCCACUGGAUGUGUGGCUCUGGGCUUCUGUUCUCUCCAUCUCAUUUGAAAAUAAAGAUUCAGGUUCUCUACAGCAGCCUCUUUUCAGACUCUAAUACGCACACCAAUCACCUGCAGAUGUUGUUAAAAUGCAGAUUCUAGUUCAGUAGAUUGGAGGUGGGGCCUGAGACUCUGCAUUGCUCACAAGUCCCCAGAAAAGCAUUUAGAACAGCCUGCAGCAAUUAAAUAUUUCCUGCUACCCCAGUUCAUCCCCCGUUGACUUCAUAGAAGAGGUGGAGACCUAAGUUAGCAAAGUCUUCGCCUUCUUAAGCCACCUCAUCAACAACUGCCUGAGGGGAUUCGAAGAAACAGGUUUGGUGUCUCUCUCCUUCAGGUUUUCCCUGUUUUUCCACACAGAUAUCUAUCUGGAAGCAUUCCCCAAAGCUUAGAAAAGGUGAAAGGCAAAUACUGGACAAAAUGUUAAAACCCUUAAGGACUUAUUAUUUGUUCCAAAUAUAAAAAAUAAUUCCUAGAUAAAACAUUUCCAUUUUACAAAUCAAGAAUAGCUGCUUAAUCCAUAACAAAUUAAAAACCAUUGUUCUAUUCCUGGUCCAGAAACACAGUAGUUUGACCAAAGAUUUCAAUUCUGCAUUUCCCAUC